This 318-nucleotide unclassified non-coding RNA is filed under the name fungal sp. RNAcentral describes it as "partial internal transcribed spacer region". The stretch from base 1 to 46 matches the Rfam family "Eukaryotic small subunit ribosomal RNA", at positions 1786 to 1831 of the family's 1831-position model. The record is from RNAcentral. Lineage: Eukaryota; Fungi.
AAGUCGUAACAAGGUUUCCGUAGGUGAACCUGCGGAAGGAUCAUUACUGAAGUCGCUGGAAGGUUUGUUGCUGGUUCUCCGGAGCAUGUGCACGCCUUUCACACUUUAUUCAACCACCUGUGCACCUCCUGUAGUCUCUCAGACGAAUUUUCAGUCUUCGGAUUGGUUGGGAUUGCUGCUUCUCGCAAGAGAGGCUUCAGUUCAAUGUCUGAGAGGGCUAUGUUUACACACAUACACUUUAAAAUUACCAGAAUGAAUCACGGUCUUUACAGACCUUAAAACAAAAUACAACUUUCAACAACGGAUCUCUUGGCUCUC